This 497-nucleotide ribosomal RNA is filed under the name uncultured bacterium. RNAcentral describes it as "partial 16S ribosomal RNA". It matches the Rfam family "Bacterial small subunit ribosomal RNA", at positions 28 to 507 of the family's 1533-position model. The record is from RNAcentral.
GAUGAACGCUGGCGGCGUGCCUAAUGCAUGCAAGUCGAGCGAACAGACGAGGAGCUUGCUCCUCUGACGUUAGCGGCGGACGGGUGAGUAACACGUGGAUAACCUACCUAUAAGACUGGGAUAACUUCGGGAAACCGGAGCUAAUACCGGAUAAUAUAUUGAACCGCAUGGUUCAAUAGUGACAGACGGUUUUGCUGUCACUUAUAGAUGGAUCCGCGCCGCAUUAGCUAGUUGGUAAGGUAACGGCUUACCAAGGCAACGAUGCGUAGCCGACCUGAGAGGGUGAUCGGCCACACUGGAACUGAGACACGGUCCAGACUCCUACGGGAGGCAGCAGUAGGGAAUCUUCCGCAAUGGGCGAAAGCCUGACGGAGCAACGCCGCGUGAGUGAUGAAGGUCUUCGGAUCGUAAAACUCUGUUAUUAGGGAAGAACAAAUGUGUAAGUAACUAUGCACGUCUUGACGGUACCUAAUCAGAAAGCCACGGCUAACUACGUG